AACGAACGCUGGCGGCAUGCCUAAUACAUGCAAGUCGAACGAACUCUUCGGAGUUAGUGGCGCACGGGUGCGUAACGCGUGGGAAUCUGCCCUUGGGUUCGGAAUAACAGUUGGAAACGACUGCUAAUACCGGAUGAUGACGUAAGUCCAAAGAUUUAUCGCCCAGGGAUGAGCCCGCGUAGGAUUAGCUAGUUGGUGAG
This 200-nucleotide ribosomal RNA is filed under the name uncultured bacterium. RNAcentral describes it as "partial 16S ribosomal RNA". It matches the Rfam family "Bacterial small subunit ribosomal RNA", at positions 29 to 256 of the family's 1533-position model. The record is from RNAcentral.